Molecule: small RNA, 148 nt
Filed under: Sinorhizobium meliloti 2011
Lineage: Bacteria; Pseudomonadati; Pseudomonadota; Alphaproteobacteria; Hyphomicrobiales; Rhizobiaceae
Description: putative ncRNA
Source: RNAcentral
GCGCAUGAACUCGUAGUCCCUCUGGUCCUGGAACUGUAGAAGCGCGGCAUCGACCCCGACGGUAAUCGGUUGCGCAAUCAUUGCCCGCGUGGCGUUCCGAUCAGCGACGCCGAUUGAUCCUGCGCAUUCUAUGGCUCCAGGCAUCGGA